RNAcentral lists this non-coding RNA (200 nucleotides) under Candidatus Butyricicoccus avistercoris. RNAcentral describes it as "6S RNA". It matches the Rfam family "6S / SsrS RNA". From Rfam's summary of the family: E. coli 6S RNA was the first non coding RNA to be sequenced, but its function was unknown until recently. It consists of 184 nucleotides that fold into an extended hairpin structure with a large single-stranded internal bulge. The record is from RNAcentral. Lineage: Bacteria; Bacillati; Bacillota; Clostridia; Eubacteriales; Butyricicoccaceae.
UUCUCCCUACCCUGUUUGACAGUAACCCUUUUUCAACCCACAUCUCUUAUAAGGGAUUCCGAAUAAUCUUUCCAUGCGGAGUUGCAGGCCUCCCGUGAAUCAAAAACGGACGUUGGAAGCACAGAUGUAUGGAAUAGGAAACCCACCUGCUCUAACGUGCAGGUUAGCAAUGGGGUUGCAUCGGCAGUGGUGGGGAUUUA